GGGCAGAGCCUGCGCGAUGCGAACCUGCGAACCAGGUCAGGGCGGGAACGCAGCAGCCUUAAGCUUGCGUCGCGUGCGACGCAGUCAACUUUGCCUGUC
RNAcentral lists this signal recognition particle RNA (99 nucleotides) under Oscillospiraceae bacterium. Its description in RNAcentral is "signal recognition particle sRNA small type". It matches the Rfam family "Bacterial small signal recognition particle RNA". From Rfam's summary of the family: The signal recognition particle (SRP) is a universally conserved ribonucleoprotein involved in the co-translational targeting of proteins to membranes. Archaeal SRP consists of a 7S RNA and homologues of the eukaryotic SRP19 and SRP54 proteins. Lineage: Bacteria; Bacillati; Bacillota; Clostridia; Eubacteriales; Oscillospiraceae. The record is from RNAcentral.